Molecule: unclassified non-coding RNA, 174 nt
Filed under: uncultured Atheliaceae
Lineage: Eukaryota; Fungi; Basidiomycota; Agaricomycetes; Atheliales; Atheliaceae
Also listed under: 1 other name
Description: sequence contains ITS2
Source: RNAcentral
AACCAUCAACCUCCUCGUGAGGCUUGGACUUUGGAGCGUGCUGGCCUUCGAGGUCGGCUCCUCUUUAAAUGCAUCAGCGGAAGUCCAUUGACGUCUCCCGUCCGGCGUGAUAAUCCUGUUGCGCCGUCAGGGUCUCGUUGGGGCUCGCUUAUAAUGGUCUUCGGACGACAUCCU